UACGUAGGGUGCGAGCGUUGUCCGGAAUUAUUGGGCGUAAAGAGCUCGUAGGCGGCUUGUCGCGUCGGAUGUGAAAGCCCGGGGCUUAACUCCGGGUCUGCAUUCGAUACGGGCAGGCUUGAGUUCGGUAGGGGAGAUCGGAAUUCCUGGUGUAGCGGUGAAAUGCGCAGAUAUCAGGAGGAACACCGGUGGCGAAGGCGGAUCUCUGGGCCGAUACUGACGCUGAGGAGCGAAAGCGUGGGGAGCGAACAGG
RNAcentral lists this ribosomal RNA (253 nucleotides) under uncultured bacterium. RNAcentral's name for it is "partial 16S ribosomal RNA". It matches the Rfam family "Bacterial small subunit ribosomal RNA", at positions 524 to 776 of the family's 1533-position model. The record is from RNAcentral.